Molecule: long non-coding RNA, 1102 nt
Filed under: Calidris pugnax (ruff)
Lineage: Eukaryota; Metazoa; Chordata; Aves; Charadriiformes; Scolopacidae
Description: lncRNA (ENSCPUG00000019146.1)
Source: RNAcentral
AGAGUGUGUUGGAGGUUGGCCACUUGUUAUUCAUCUGUGAAUUAAUGGAAAUAUUUUACAAUGUUGUUUAUGCACAAACACAAAACUAUGAAAUUUAAUUUCAUAGUUAAUUGGGGAAGCUAUUCAGUCUCCUUGCAGCAAACAUCUUGCCAUAUUAUGCUUUCAGAGCUUUUAUUGUAAUUCCUAUAUUACAUACAUUUGUUUUUCUUCUCUCCUCAGAAAUUUUUCCAAGAGAUUCCAGUCUAAAAGACAAAUUCAUAAAACAUUUUACAGGGCCAGUCACAUUUUCAUCAGAGUGUAGCAAGCACUUUCAUCGACUGUAUCACAACACAAGGGACUGCUCAACGCCAGCUUAUUAUAAAAGGUGUGCAAGGUUGCUAACAAGAUUAGCAAUGAGCCCUUUGUGUACACAGUCCUAGGAUGUUUGCUAUACUUUCUACUAUGGAGAGAACUCUGAUUUGCCAAGAAAGUGCCUUGAAAUCUUCCAAGACAGAGAAGACAUCUUUUAACUUUUUUGAUUUACAACGUUUUGUUACUAGAUGCAUUUUAUUUUCAUAUAUUUGUUGGACAUUCCAUAUUUGUGUGAAACAUUAUUUUAUUUUAAUUUGUAAAUUUGUUGCCUAUAGUUCAGACAAGCCAAUUAUUUAAAUACAUUGUAUAUAAAGAAUACUAAUGAUAUACUGAUUAAAUGUUAUAGCCGUAUGCAGGGAGUUGGUAAAGUUUUGCUGUUUCUCUUGUUCCAUUGUAUUUACAUCAUUCUGCUCAGGCUCUUACUUUCAUUAUUUGCACUAACUUGAAAUGCAGAAGUCUAUGUAACUGAAAUCUGAAUAAGCUGUAAGUGGGAAAGUUUUACUUGCCAUGGAAGAUAUUUUAUAUUAUGAAGCUUUGUUAAUAUAUACAUAUAUAUUAUUGCGCAUCAGAAAAAAAAUUGCUCAAAAAUGCACCUUGCUUUCAGGAACAUUUGUAUGACUAUUCUGGAUUUUCAUCAGUUACAUUUGUACUGGCACUUAUGGAAAGAGUUGCAAAUAAUGUAAAUAUAAAGACUGGAAAACUGCAAUGCAGUUUUGGUGGAAUAAAGAACAUAAAAAUAAACUAUUUUCCA